UACGAAGGGGGCGAGCGUUGUUCGGAAUUACUGGGCGUAAAGGGCGCGUAGGCGGCCGAUCAAGUCAGAUGUGAAAGUCCUGGGCUUAACCUGGGGACUGCAUUUGAUACUGAUUGGCUUGAAUGCAGGAGAGGAUAGCGGAAUUCCCAGUGUAGAGGUGAAAUUCGUAGAUAUUGGGAAGAACACCGGUGGCGAAGGCGGCUAUCUGGACUGUGAUUGACGCUGGAGGCGACGAAAGCGUGGGGAGCAAACAGG
This 255-nucleotide ribosomal RNA is filed under the name uncultured bacterium. Its description in RNAcentral is "partial 16S ribosomal RNA". It matches the Rfam family "Bacterial small subunit ribosomal RNA", at positions 524 to 776 of the family's 1533-position model. The record is from RNAcentral.